AUGGCUCAGCGUCUGUCUGCUCUUGGAUCCUUUGGAGGCCUGCUAGAUUUCAGACGCUCAGGUUUGGCCAGUGCACUCCCAACCCCUGAAGUUAAGCAAGGUAGAUGAAUUAUUAAACCACACCGGGCCAUUAGCAUAUUGGGCCUUACCUCUCUGGGGUCCCUGCCCUUGAGCAACUAAAUGCUUUAUUGAAGAGGCAAAAAACAUGCACGAAAAAGAAAACUUCAAGGUGAUGUCCAGGUCACUCUUUGGAUUUAUCAAGGACGGUCCCAUUCGCGUCAGCGCCGCACCUGCUCUGGACGCCCCGGGACGUUCAGCGGCUGUGGCCGUGCGGCUGGACUGA
RNAcentral lists this long non-coding RNA (343 nucleotides) under Ursus maritimus (polar bear). RNAcentral describes it as "lncRNA (ENSUMAG00000022348.1)". Lineage: Eukaryota; Metazoa; Chordata; Mammalia; Carnivora; Ursidae. The record is from RNAcentral.